Molecule: ribosomal RNA, 465 nt
Filed under: uncultured bacterium
Lineage: Bacteria
Description: partial 16S ribosomal RNA
Rfam family: Bacterial small subunit ribosomal RNA
Source: RNAcentral
GACGAACGCUGGCGGCGUGCUUAACACAUGCAAGUCGAACGGAAAGGCCCCCUUGUGGGGUAACCGAGUGGCGAAAGGGGGAGUAAAAAGGGAGUAGCCUACCCUUGCCUUUGGGAUAAAUUCAGGAAAAUGGGGCUAAUACCGGGUAGGAGCUCCUGCUGCAUGGGGGGGGUUGGAAGGUUUCGGCGGUUGGGGAUGGACUCGGGGCUUUUCGUCUUGUUGGGGGGGUAGUGGCUCACAAGGGGGUUGAGGGUUAGCCCGCCUGAGGGGGGGACCGGCCACAUUGGGACUGAGAUACGGCCCAGACCCCUACGGGAGGCAGCAGUGGGGAAUAUUGCACAAUGGGCGGACGCCUGAUGCAGCAACGCCGCGUGCGGGAUAACGCCCUUCGUGUUGUAAACCGCUUUCGCCUGUCACGAAGCGUGAGUGACGGUACUGGGUAAAGAAGCACCGGCUAACUACGUG